GACGAACGCUGGCGGCGUGCUUAACGCAUGCAAGUCGAACGGAAAGGCCCCCUUGUGGGGUACUCGAGUGGCGAACGGGUGAGUAACACGUGAGUAACCUACCCUUGACUUUGGGAUAACUUCAGGAAACUGGGGCUAAUACCGGAUAGGAGCUCCUGCUGCAUGGUGGGGGUUGGAAAGUUUCGGCGGUUGGGGAUGGACUCGCGGCUUAUCAGCUUGUUGGUGGGGUAGUGGCUCACCAAGGCUUUUACGGGUAGCCGGCCUGAGAGGGGGAACGGCCAGCUUGGGACUGAGAUACGGCCCAGACUCCUGCGGGAUGCAGCAGUGGGGAAUAUUGAACAAUGGGCGGAAGCUUGAUGCAGCAACGCCGCGUGCGGGAUGAGGGACUUCGGGUUGUAAAACGCUUUCGCCUGGGACGAAGCGUGAGUGACGGUAAUGGGUAAAGAAGCACCGGCUAACUACGUG
RNAcentral lists this ribosomal RNA (465 nucleotides) under uncultured bacterium. Its description in RNAcentral is "partial 16S ribosomal RNA". It matches the Rfam family "Bacterial small subunit ribosomal RNA", at positions 28 to 507 of the family's 1533-position model. The record is from RNAcentral.